UACCAGCUCUCCGAGUGGUAGGGAUGAUUAUUGGGCUUAAAGCGUCCGUAGCCGGCUUAGCAAGUCUCCUGUUAAAUUCAGCGACCUAAUCGUUGAGCCGCGGGAGAUACUACUGGGCUAGGAGGCGGGAGAGGUCGACGGUACUUCUGGGGUAGGGGUGAAAUCCUAUAAUCCCGGGAGGACCACCAGUGGCGAGGGCUGUCGACUAGAACGCGCUCGACGGUGAGGGACGAAAGCUGGGGUAGCGAACCGGAUUAGAUACCCGGGUAGUCCCAGCUGUAAACUAUGCGGGCUAGGUGUUGGGGUGGCUACGGGCCACUUCAGUGCCGCAGGAAAGCCAUUAAGCCCGCCGCCUGGGGAGUACGGCCGCAAGGCUGAAACUUAAAGGAAUCGGCGGGGGAGCACCACAAGGCGUGAAGCUUGCGGUUC
Molecule: ribosomal RNA, 429 nt
Filed under: uncultured archaeon
Lineage: Archaea
Description: bacterial SSU rRNA
Rfam family: Archaeal small subunit ribosomal RNA
Source: RNAcentral